UCGGGAGUCGUCCAAUCGGUGAGGGCCUCCGGCUUUGAACCGGAAGAUCGGGGUUCGAGUCCCCGCUCCCGGG
This 73-nucleotide transfer RNA is filed under the name Myxococcales bacterium. RNAcentral's name for it is "tRNA-Gln". It matches the Rfam family "tRNA". Rfam says of the family: Transfer RNA (tRNA) molecules are approximately 80 nucleotides in length. Their secondary structure includes four short double-helical elements and three loops (D, anti-codon, and T loops). Further hydrogen bonds mediate the characteristic L-shaped molecular structure. tRNAs have two regions of fundamental functional importance: the anti-codon, which is responsible for specific mRNA codon recognition, and the 3' end, to which the tRNAs corresponding amino acid is attached (by aminoacyl-tRNA synthetases). tRNAs cope with the degeneracy of the genetic code in two manners: having more than one tRNA (with a specific anti-codon) for a particular amino acid; and 'wobble' base-pairing, i.e. permitting non-standard base-pairing at the 3rd anti-codon position. The record is from RNAcentral. Lineage: Bacteria; Pseudomonadati; Myxococcota; Myxococcia; Myxococcales.